This 478-nucleotide ribosomal RNA is filed under the name uncultured bacterium. RNAcentral describes it as "bacterial SSU rRNA". It matches the Rfam family "Bacterial small subunit ribosomal RNA", at positions 28 to 505 of the family's 1533-position model. The record is from RNAcentral.
GACGAACGCUGGCGGCGUGCCUAACACAUGCAAGUCAACUUGACUGAAGGAGCAAUCUGACAGUAGAGUGGCGCAAGGGUGCGUAACGCGUAAGUAACUUGCCCCAAGGUAAGGAAUAACGUCGAGAAAUCGGCGCUAAUACCUCAUAAUGCAGCGGAUCCGCAUGGAUAUGUUGUUAAAGGUUUACCGCCUUGGGAUAGGCUUGCGUCUGAUUAGCUAGUUGGUGUGGUAACGGCACACCAAGGCUACGAUCAGUAACUGGUCUGAGAGGAUGAUCAGCCACACUGGAACUGAGACACGGUCCAGACUCCUACGGGAGGCAGCAGUGAGGAAUAUUGGGCAAUGCUCGAAAGAGUGACCCAGCAACGCCGCGUGGAGGAUGAAGGUAUUCUAUAUCGUAAACUCCUGUGAGAGCAGACGAAAGACAGAUUAUUAAUCUGGAUGACUGUAUGCUCAGAGGAAGCCCCGGCUAACUACG